GACGAACGCUGGCGGCGUGCUUAACACAUGCAAGUCGAACGGAAAGGCCCUGCUUUUGUGGGGUGCUCGAGUGGCGAACGGGUGAGUAGCACGUGAGUAACCUGCCCUUGACUUUGGGAUAACUUCAGGAAACUGGGGCUAAUACCGGAUAGGAGCUCCUGCUGCAUGGUGGGGGUUGGAAAGUUUCGGCGGUUGGGGAUGGACUCGCGGCUUAUCAGCUUGUUGGUGGGGUGGUGGCUUACCAAGGCUUUGACGGGUAGACGGUCUGAGAGGGGGACCGGGCACACUGGCAGUGAGACACGGUCGAGACUGAUGCGGGAGGCAGGAGGAGGGAAUGGUCGGCAAUGGGCGAGAGGGUGACGGAGCGACGCCGGGUGAGUGAUGACGGUCUUCGGAUCGUAAAACGGGGUUAGUAGGGAAGAACAAAUGUGUAAGGAACUAUGCACGUCUUGAAGGGACCAAAUCAGAAAGCCACGGCGAACGACGUG
Molecule: ribosomal RNA, 488 nt
Filed under: uncultured bacterium
Lineage: Bacteria
Description: partial 16S ribosomal RNA
Rfam family: Bacterial small subunit ribosomal RNA
Source: RNAcentral